CUUAUGCGAUUGCUGUGUGAAUUGCAGAAUCCCGUGAACCAUCGAGUCUUUGAACGCAAGUUGCGCCCGAAGCCAUUAGGCCGAGGGCACGUCUGCCUGGGCGUCA
This 106-nucleotide ribosomal RNA is filed under the name Dracocephalum bipinnatum. RNAcentral's name for it is "partial 5.8S ribosomal RNA". It matches the Rfam family "5.8S ribosomal RNA", at positions 50 to 154 of the family's 154-position model. Rfam says of the family: 5.8S ribosomal RNA (5.8S rRNA) is a component of the large subunit of the eukaryotic ribosome. The record is from RNAcentral. Lineage: Eukaryota; Viridiplantae; Streptophyta; Magnoliopsida; Lamiales; Lamiaceae.